AAUAUUGGGGACUGAAACCCGAGAGUGAGCUUUAACAACGCAUUGGGUCUUUUCUUGUUCGAAAUUCCAACCGAAGCAGUAGCAGUAGGGCCAUUUUUAAAGCCUCAAAACUUUUUUCCUUCUUGCCGUUAGUCGUUUACCAGAGGUUCUGUGCCCUAACGUCCAACUGAGGAUAGGGAUCUCCGCAGCUUACAGGCAGAAAGAAAAGUAUUUCUUCCGUCUCCAGGAUACUAGAAGUUGACUUCGCACACACUUAGGAGUUGUCAAAAUUCUCACUGCUGAUUUAUUAUAAAAGUUAUUUAUUUGGGUAAGUGGGGUGCAAGGACAGACGUAUUGUUCAUCAGCUUCAUACCUGUCUCAGUUUUGAAUAUGAUUGACAUGGCAUGGCUUAGCGCCAUGUUACUUGGAGCAGGAUGCCUUGCUUUGGGUUAUAUUAUUGGGAUGCGACAUUCUUCUCGCACUUUUCUCUCAAACAGAGCAUCUGGUGAUACCGAAACUAUAAUUGAUGGGAAAAAGAGAAAAGGGGCCAAGCAACCUCUUGAAGUAGAAAGGCUGGCUGAGAUCCUUGAAGAUUUUAAAAUGGUUUUAGUGGUCAGGAAUGACUUGAAGAUGGGAAAAGGGAAAAUAGCUGCACAAUGCAGUCAUGCAACUCUGGGUCUCUACAAGAAGCUUCAUAAUAGGGCACCAAAGGCUUUAAAUAGAUGGGAGAUGUGUGGACAGGUGAAGGUGGUGGUGAAGAUUGAAAGUGAAGAUGAUAUGUUGGUUUUGCAAGAAAGAGCAAAAUCAAUUAAUAUACCAACACACAUUACAAUAGAUGCUGGGAGAACCCAAAUUGCACCAAGUACAGGGGCAAGCUCAUUGUUGAUGGAGUUGAGCGUAAAGGGCAUUUGUGAUCAUUUACUGCCUAGACAAGAAGAUUUUACUUGCCAAUGAAAUGAUGCUGAAGACCUUAGGACCGACCACCAGACCACAGGAAUACAGACUCGAGGACAGUGAUGGCUAUACUUGGACCGGCUGACAUGGUUGACAAUGUAACUGGGGGAUUGAAACUUUUGUAGUCACUUAAUUCUAACGCUUUAAGGGCCUGCCUCUGCAGUCUGCAGUAUGGAACAAGAAUGAGAAAACACCAUCAGAGGGAAGUUGGGAAUUCAGAAAUCACCCAUGAUAAUGAAAACAUUUGUUUUAAUCUCUAUAACAUUUCUAUCAUGCAAUGCAGUUUUAAUACUCUACUUUUUCCCCAUCUAAACUGCCUAGCCACAUGAAAUUACUCUGUUUAAGACUUUGAUUUACAAUAUAUAAAUCUACUAUGCUUUAUUUACAAAAAAAAAAAAA
Molecule: RNA transcript, 1332 nt
Organism: Solanum pennellii
Lineage: Eukaryota; Viridiplantae; Streptophyta; Magnoliopsida; Solanales; Solanaceae
Gene name: peptidyl-tRNA hydrolase 2, mitochondrial-like
Exons: 10
Source: RefSeq, a predicted model, not a curated record